Molecule: ribosomal RNA, 497 nt
Filed under: uncultured bacterium
Lineage: Bacteria
Description: bacterial SSU rRNA
Rfam family: Bacterial small subunit ribosomal RNA
Source: RNAcentral
ACUCAAAGGAAUUGACGGGGGCCCGCACAAGCGGCGGAGCAUGCGGAUUAAUUCGAUGCAACGCGAAGAACCUUACCUGGGUUUGACAUAUACCGGAAAGCUGCAGAGAUGUAGCCCCCGCAAGGUCGGUAUACAGGUGGUGCAUGGCUGUCGUCAGCUCGUGUCGUGAGAUGUUGGGUUAAGUCCCGCAACGAGCGCAACCCUCGUCCUAUGUUGCCAGCACGUAAUGGUGGGGACUCAUAGGAGACUGCCGGGGUCAACUCGGAGGAAGGUGGGGAUGACGUCAAGUCAUCAUGCCCCUUAAGUCCAGGGCUUCACGCAUGCUACAAUGGCCGGUACAAAGAGCUGCAAUACCGCAAGGUUGAGCGAAUCUCAAAAAGCCGGCCUCAGUUCGGAUUGGGGUCUGCAACUCGACCCCAUGAAGUCGGAGUCGCUAGUAAUCGCAGAUCAGCAAUGCUGCGGUGAAUACGUUCCCGGGCCUUGUACACACCGCCCGU